GUGCCAGCAGCCGCGGUAAUACGUAUGUCGCGAGCGUUAUCCGGAAUUAUUGGGCUUAAAGGGCAUCUAGGCGGUAUAACAAGUUGAAGGUGAAAAGCUGUGGCUCAACCAUAGCCUUGCCUACAAAACUGUAAUACUAGAGUACUGGAAAGGUGGGUGGAACUACACGAGUAGAGGUGAAACUCGUAGAUAUGCGUAGGAAUGCCGAUGAUGAAGAUACUCACUGGACAGAAACUGAC
RNAcentral lists this ribosomal RNA (239 nucleotides) under uncultured Fusobacteriaceae bacterium. RNAcentral describes it as "partial 16S ribosomal RNA". It matches the Rfam family "Bacterial small subunit ribosomal RNA", at positions 505 to 744 of the family's 1533-position model. Lineage: Bacteria; Fusobacteriati; Fusobacteriota; Fusobacteriia; Fusobacteriales; Fusobacteriaceae. The record is from RNAcentral.